GAUGAAGAACGUAGCGAAAUGCGAUAAGUAAUGUGAAUUGCAGAAUCCAGUGAAUCAUCGAAUCUUUGAACGCACAUUGCGCCCGCCAGUAUUCUGGCGGGCAUGCCUGUCCGAGCGUCAUUUCAACCCUCGAACCCCUCCGGGGGGUCGGCGUUGGGGAUCGGCCCUUUACGGGGCCGGCCCCGAAAUACAGUGGCGGUCUCGCCGCAGCCUCUCCUGCGCAGUAGUUUGCACACUCGCAUCGGGAGCGCGGCGCGUCCACAGCCGUUAAACACCCCAAACUUCUGAAAUGUUGACCUCGGAUCAGGUAGGAAUACCCGCUGAACUUAAGCAUAUCAAUAAGCGGAGGA
This 350-nucleotide unclassified non-coding RNA is filed under the name soil metagenome. RNAcentral describes it as "partial contains 5.8S ribosomal RNA, internal transcribed spacer 2, and large subunit ribosomal RNA". The stretch from base 1 to 120 matches the Rfam family "5.8S ribosomal RNA", at positions 35 to 154 of the family's 154-position model. The record is from RNAcentral.